Molecule: RNA transcript, 1139 nt
Organism: Bacillus rossius redtenbacheri
Lineage: Eukaryota; Metazoa; Arthropoda; Insecta; Phasmatodea; Bacillidae
Gene name: bombyxin C-1-like
Exons: 2
Source: RefSeq, a predicted model, not a curated record
CCCCCCCUUUUUUCGGCCAACCGGGUCCCAGCGUCUUUUUUUUUUUGACGAUCUAGCCGCCAUGAUGAAUUAAUGCGCGGGCUGUUGGUCUGACUACAUCGGCGUCUCUGUCGAACUGCUUCUUGAAUAAUAAAUCGCGGGCAGAUCUGCCUUCUUCUGCGCUAUAGGAUGUGAUCGUCUUGGCCGAGGGAAUUUUUCCCUAAAACUUUUCUUUGUCUUCUGUUAGUUAGUCAGCCAACCCGAAUAGCUACGUUUUAGUUGUGCUUCCGCGACAUCUCCGCGAUGCGCGUCCUAACUGGCGAUCGCGCAACAUGAAUGGAAUCAUCUGUCAUCACCCUGCUUCGGCAGGGUGCAAGAGAUACCCCCCGAUUGAAGAAACACCCCCGUCAUCCGAGAGUCACCCCUCCACAAAUGGUCGUGAUUGAAAGUCAAUUGAGUGAACCCCAACCAAAUUUAUUCUGCUCUUCCCGCCGAAUUUUACCUGGUCGUGAGUUCUGAACGACAAAAUUUCAUCAAUCUUGGUGUGCCAGUGGACAGGGGAGAAGUUUUUGUGAACUAUGUAAAGUUAUAUCUUCAGUAAUUAUGACUCAAGAAGAAUUAAUCCUUAUUGGACAUGGGUAUAUUGUAAUUUUUUUUGCAUAAGAUUUAAAACCAAGGCAAUAUAUUCUAACUAUUUUUGUGAACAUUUUACUAUGGAUAGAACCUUGUUAAAUUUUCGCUAGAUUCGCGGUCCGGACUCGCUAGCACUAUAAAUUGUGUUCAUGUUUUCUUCAUUAAUGAUUGCUAAGAUGUUAAAAUGCUAAUUGGUUGAUCGAUGGUUAAUCUGCCUUCAUCUUUUCUGGUAAAAUCUAAUUAAAGAAAGAUUAUGCACUACAUAAAAGAAUAUUAAUAUAAAUAAACCAGCAAGCCUAUAGAUCACAUGACUUAUUUUGUUGUUUUUAUUUAAUUGAGUACCUAUAUGUAUAUUUCUACCGAUCCACUGACUCCCAAAUGGAUUGUUUGUAGGGAGUUUCUAAAUUAUUUUGUUCCCCGCCUCGUGCCAUCUCUGGUGAUGUUCGAAUUUUAUGUGAAUUUUGUAGCUUGUUGCUCAGCUGUUUCCUUGGACUUUUAAGAGGUGUUAUAACACUAAAAAUCAAGGG